Small nuclear RNA from Eurytemora carolleeae, 108 nucleotides. The record is from RefSeq and is a predicted model, not a curated record. Lineage: Eukaryota; Metazoa; Arthropoda; Copepoda; Calanoida; Temoridae.
GUACUUGCUUCGGCAGUACAUAUACUAAAAUUGGAACGAUACAGAGAAGAUUAGCAUGGCCCCUGCGCUAAAAAUUUCUUGUUGACAAUUUAGUGGCCACUUAAUUGU